Long non-coding RNA from Cyprinus carpio carpio, 2237 nucleotides. The record is from Ensembl. Lineage: Eukaryota; Metazoa; Chordata; Actinopteri; Cypriniformes; Cyprinidae.
CCAAGUGCAACCCAUGGACACUGAUUGGUUCAGAUCUUCUAUAAAUGACAUGACUGGGUCACAGGUGAUCACAGUCACCAAUCUUUUUUAAAGGUUGAUAACGAUGGGAAAUAUUUACACUAAACUAAUUUUUUUUUUUGAGACAUCAAAUAUGACUUAUAAAGAAAAUAAAUAUUAUGAAAAAGUGCUAAAAAUUCCAUACUUUUCUUCUAAUUUUAAAUCAAAGAAAAAUUUUGAUUAUAUUUUAGAAAAAUUAAAACCUACAUUCGAUGGUAUGCUAAUCAAAGAAGGGAAAAUUUAUUAUAAUAAUGUCAACAACAGAAAUGUAACUUAUACAUCACCUUGUUAUAUUUUAAUUUGGGAUUCUGAUCGUCGUAUUUUUAGCCGAGGUCUCGGGUUUUAUAUUGGAUCUGGAGUUAUAAUUACAGCCAAACAUGUUUUAAAGGCAUACAAAAAUAAAAACGUAUUUGUUCUUUUCCCAAAUAAAAUGUUUUAUUUAGCCUACAGUAUUAAUACUGAUAACAUCUAUUUUGACAAUGAUUAUGAUAUUGCUAGAGUUAAAUUGGAAAUCAGUUUUGAUAAACUACCAAAUAUAAAACCUGUAGAAAUAGACUUGAAUAGAAAUGAAAACAAAAAUCUUUAUUUUUACAAACUAAAAGCAGGGCGUUUUGUUAAAGUGAAAUGUAAAAAAACUAAAGAAUUAAAUCUUAAAGAAUUUACUCUUUCUAAAACGGGAAAUGAUGGAGAUAGCGGGACCCCUAUUUUUACAAGUUCUGGUAAAUGUGUUGCAAUGUAUAUUGGUGCAUUUACAAAAACAAACAGAAAAUGUAUACUUGGCAUAGGUUUACAAUUUGAUAGUUCUUUAAAGACAUCUCUUCAUUGAAUUUUCCUCUGUAGUUUAUAAUAUUCUAAUGCUUUAAAAAAAAAAAAAAAAAUCUCUUUUUCAUCACUGUUUCUCAACCCUGCUCCAAUUUCCCAAGCUCACUAAUGAGCUGGCUAAUUUUAUAGUGAGCGGGGAAGCAAAAAACAGGGUCACCAGGGGCAGGAUUGAGAAACACUGUAUCCCAUCAACAUAAAUUUGGAAGUGCAAAAAUGCUGUAACACAAUUGGCAUGGUUACAGUACCAUAAAGUGCUAAAUAUUUCCCAUUGUUUGGCUGUCUGGAGAGGAUCUUGUGCCUUGCCCAAAACAAAAUCUUGUGUCUUGUCGGUAUGGAGCUGGACUAUUGUUACAGAUGUUGCAGGAGCAGCUCUGAAAGUCAUCUGUUUCAAGAAGCACCUCCAGACUGCAUAUGUCACAUUUGGGUCAAGUUACAAUCAUGAUUCCUCUCCAUAAAAUGGUGGUGGCCCGGACUCACUUGAAGCACAACACCCUUACGCCAUUGCUCGGUGUCAUGUUGAACCACCUUUGGAUGACACGCGUCACUUUUGGGUCAAAAGAUAUUCCUCAUGAUAUUGAAGAUAUUUCUAUUCCUCAUGAUAUUGAAGAUAUUUCUAUUCCUCAUGAUAUUGAAGAUAUUUCUAUUCCUCAUGAUAUUGAAAAUAUUCAUCAUGAUACUGAAGAUAUUCCUCAUGAAGUUAUUCCUCAUGAAGUUACUUUCUAAAUAAACAAAAUGAGAUUCUAAAUAAAUGUACAAAAAAAUUUUUUUCACUUUUUUCCCCCCAAACCUUAAGAAUCCUUUACAUCAAAUCUUAGCCCUAAGCAUCUAUCUUUCCCAAAAUCCAUAAUUAGAGCUGUCUCCUGUCCUCCAAAAUGUUCUUUGGUGCCUUCAGCCAUUGUAUGUUUAUUUACAAUUGAAAUUUAAUGAUUCUCUGUCAGAAUAAUUUUCAAAACACUUUCAAUGAUGAUCCACCAGAUGGAGACAAAGAUUGAUUUGUAAAACAGAAAGUUUUUGUCUAGACGGGACUAGUUUUGUAAACUACGUUUGAGUUUCGAUUCUUACCACAUGACGUCUGCGAUUUUCAUGUACCAAUUCGGACGGGACUAACAUCUCCGUGUUUAUUACAGAGGUGGGAGGGUCUGUUUUGUGCAUCUGGGCGUCACAGAGAUCACGCGCUCAGUAUGCGUGCAUUGCAUAUAACGUUAGUCAUUCGGAUCGAUUACCAUUAGUAUUAUUACACAAUAAAUGCUAAAAACUAAAUGGCUAGUAUAGCAAAACCAUGUUAAUGUGUGGUUUCUUUAGUUUAACUUCAUUAAUUACAUCUGUAAUUAAAACAUAAUGUAACUGAGUGCAUAAAU